This 147-nucleotide small RNA is filed under the name Flavobacterium lacus. Its description in RNAcentral is "Flavo-1 RNA". The record is from RNAcentral. Lineage: Bacteria; Pseudomonadati; Bacteroidota; Flavobacteriia; Flavobacteriales; Flavobacteriaceae.
AAUUUGCGUUAGGGAUUGAAGUGAAAAGCCCGGAACCUCAAAACAGCAAAUUUUCUUAGGCACAAAAAGCGACCAGCGGAAGCUUUUUGGGUCUUUAGAAAAUUGCUAUUUUGUGGUGAGGACUUGUAACGCAAAGCCCGACCCUUG